AUUGAACGCUGGCGGCAUGCUUUACACAUGCAAGUCGAACGGCAGCGCGGGCUUCGGCCUGGCGGCGAGUGGCGAACGGGUGAGUAAUACAUCGGAACGUGCCCAGUAGUGGGGGAUAGCUCGGCGAAAGCCGGAUUAAUACCGCAUACGACCUGAGGGUGAAAGCGGGGGAUCUUCGGACCUCGCGCUAUUGGAGCGGCCGAUGGCAGAUUAGCUAGUUGGUGGGGUAAAGGCCUACCAAGGCGGCGAUCUGUAGCUGGUCUGAGAGGACGACCAGCCACACGGGGACUGAGACACGGCCCAGACUCCUACGGGAGGCAGCAGUGGGGAAUUUUGGACAAUGGGCGAAAGCCUGAUCCAGCAAUGCCGCGUGUGUGAUGAAGGCCUUCGGGUUGUAAAGCACUUUUGGCGGGAACGAAAAGGACUGUGCCAAUACCACGGUUCGAUGACGGUACCCGCAGAAUAAGCACCGGCUAACUACGUG
Molecule: ribosomal RNA, 484 nt
Filed under: uncultured bacterium
Lineage: Bacteria
Description: partial 16S ribosomal RNA
Rfam family: Bacterial small subunit ribosomal RNA
Source: RNAcentral